GGGAGCGAGCGAGCGACCCGGCCCUGGAGUCCGAGCCAGCCCCGCGUCCCGCGCCCGCCGCCCGCCGCCCGCUCCCGCGCCCGCGCCCGCGCCCGCCGGCCGGGCCCCCCGAGCCGGGCCUCCAGCUGGGCCCCGAGCCCGAGCCCGCGCCGCGCGAGCCGCUGCCCGAGAGUCCGCGGCCGCCGCUGCCGGGCCCGGAGCCGCCGCGGCCGAGAGGGGCCCGCGCCCAGGAGCGGCGGCGGGGCCCGGCCUGCGCGGCCGUUGGCGGAGGAGCCGCGGGCGCCAUUAGCACCGCCUCGGCCGCGCCGGCCCCCGCGCCCGCCCGCUUGCCGGGCUCCCGCGGCCGCGGCGCCCCGAAGGUAAUCAUUACCAAAUGAGGAGGAAAGGACGAUGUCAUCGAGGCUCUGCAGCGAGGCAUCCUUCUUCCCCAUGCAGUGUUAAACACUCCCCUACGCGAGAAACGCUGACCUACGCUCAAGCUCAAAGGAUGGUAGAGAUAGAAAUUGAAGGGCGCUUGCACAGGAUCAGUAUUUUUGAUCCCCUGGAGAUCAUAUUGGAAGAUGACCUCACUGCUCAAGAGAUGAGUGAGUGCAACAGCAACAAGGAAAACAGCGAGCGGCCUCCUGUCUGCUUAAGAACUAAGCGUCAC
This 649-nucleotide long non-coding RNA is filed under the name Homo sapiens (human). Its description in RNAcentral is "HSALNT0279298". Lineage: Eukaryota; Metazoa; Chordata; Mammalia; Primates; Hominidae. The record is from RNAcentral.